GAUGAACGCUGGCGGCGUGCCUAAUACAUGCAAGUCGAGCGAACAGACGAGGAGCUUGCUCCUCUGACGUUAGCGGCGGACGGGUGAGUAACACGUGGAUAACCUACCUAUAAGACUGGGAUAACUUCGGGAAACCGGAGCUAAUACCGGAUAAUAUAUUGAACCGCAUGGUUCAAUAGUGAAAGACGGUUUUGCUGUCACUUAUAGAUGGAUCCGUGCCGCAUUAGCUAGUUGGUAAGGUAACGGCUUACCAAGGCGACGAUGCGUAGCCGACCUGAGAGGGUGAUCGGCCACACUGGAACUGAGACACGGUCCAGACUCCUACGGGAGGCAGCAGUAGGGAAUCUUCCGCAAUGGGCGAAAGCCUGACGGAGCAACGCCGCGUGGGUGAUGAAGGUCUUCGGAUCGUAAAACUCUGUUAUUAGGGAAGAACAAAUGUGUAAGUAACUAUGCACGUCUUGACGGUACCUAAUCAGAAAGCCACGGCUAACUACGUG
This 497-nucleotide ribosomal RNA is filed under the name uncultured bacterium. RNAcentral's name for it is "partial 16S ribosomal RNA". It matches the Rfam family "Bacterial small subunit ribosomal RNA", at positions 28 to 507 of the family's 1533-position model. The record is from RNAcentral.